UAAUCUAGUUCAGGGAUAGGCAACCUUUGGCACUUCUGAUAUUUUGCCAGAAUUAUGAUUGUAAGAGCAUUAUGGGGGAUGUAGUCUACAAUAACUGGAGUGCCAAAGGUUGUCUAUCCCUGAUCUAGUAGU
Pelobates cultripes (western spadefoot toad) is the source of this 132-nucleotide non-coding RNA. The record is from the annotation of a GenBank genome assembly. NCBI's taxonomy places the organism in Eukaryota, Metazoa, Chordata, Amphibia, Anura, Pelobatidae.